RNAcentral lists this unclassified non-coding RNA (343 nucleotides) under soil metagenome. Its description in RNAcentral is "partial contains 5.8S ribosomal RNA, internal transcribed spacer 2, and large subunit ribosomal RNA". The stretch from base 1 to 120 matches the Rfam family "5.8S ribosomal RNA", at positions 35 to 154 of the family's 154-position model. The record is from RNAcentral.
GAUGAAGAACGUAGCGAAAUGCGAUAAGUAGUGUGAAUUGCAGAAUUCAGUGAAUCAUCGAAUCUUUGAACGCACAUUGCGCCCUUUGGUAUUCCAAAGGGCAUGCCUGUUCGAGCGUCAUUUGUACCCUCAAGCUUUGCUUGGUGUUGGGCGUCUUGUCUCUAGCUUUGCUGGAGACUCGCCUUAAAGUAAUUGGCAGCCGGCCUACUGGUUUCGGAGCGCAGCACAAGUCGCACUCUCUAUCAGCAAAGGUCUAGCAUCCAUUAAGCCUUUUUUUUCAACUUUUGACCUCGGAUCAGGUAGGGAUACCCGCUGAACUUAAGCAUAUCAAUAAGCGGGAGGA